Molecule: long non-coding RNA, 779 nt
Filed under: Mus musculus (house mouse)
Lineage: Eukaryota; Metazoa; Chordata; Mammalia; Rodentia; Muridae
Description: long non-coding RNA chr14:14686843-14687622
Source: RNAcentral
AAGCUUUCCUCUUUCCUCCCUCAGAACGCUGCCUGAGUAAGUAAAUAAGGAUGCUUUCCUCUCUGGUAAUGUGGUUGCAGCUACAUUUUUUGUUUAUACUGUUAUUAUUGUUAUUAUUAUUAUCAUAUCCAUUUUACUGGCCAGGGUAUUUCUUGCUUUCUUGUUUAUUUCAUUAGGAGACCUAGAUCACUCUUUGGUCAACUGUUCAACUAAUACCUGAAGAUUCAUUAUUGCCAAAUUAAUUUUGAAAUUACCAGCCACUUCUAUUGCACUUGAAAGUCUACUCAGGACUUGUUAAACUUUGGUAGAUCAUUCUGCACAGCUCACUGAAUGCAUCAUAAUACUGUCUCCCAAGCAUUCUCUGCUCCUCUCUGCUAUUCUACCCAAGGGACUGAAGAGGAAACACAGGCACAAAGCGUCCCACCUCUACUCCCCUCCCCACCCCCCACUUUUAUGGGGAAUGGAAACCCACGUCUUGAUAUUUGACUUCUAGUCCAUCUGAAGAUUUGUUCAGCUGAUACACUCUUAGGCUUAUUUUAUUUGUUUUGCAGAGUAAGUUCUUUUAUAGAGAGGGGUGUGACUGGUUCUUAUCAUGGCUCUGUUCACGAUAGGCAAGCUAUGGGACCAACCCACAUGUCUAUCAACCAGUGGACAAAGCAAAUGUGUUACAUGUACACAAUGGACUAUUAUUCUGCCACAAGGAAGAAGGAAGUGAUCAGCUGCUGAAAAAUUGAUGGAACUGGAGAUCAUGUCUAGUGUGAUAUCCCAAGCUCAGAAAG